Myodes glareolus (Bank vole) is the source of this 1138-nucleotide long non-coding RNA. RefSeq lists it as uncharacterized. The record is from RefSeq and is a predicted model, not a curated record. NCBI's taxonomy places the organism in Eukaryota, Metazoa, Chordata, Mammalia, Rodentia, Cricetidae.
GAAGACACCACGUGUCAAGCUACCACCCCCAUCAGUAUCUAUAUCCCAUGACUGAGUCAAUACCUCCGAGACUGUGAGCCAAAAUGAAACUCUCCUCUUUUACCUCUGCCAUAACAAAAAGGGGAAAUGUGCCUCGUGUCUGGUUUUACCCAUCUACCGGAUAACCAGGCCUCUGGUAGUCCCUGAAAAAGAUUUCCGAGAAUGUACAACUGUAGCACCAGUGGGCAUAUGUGCCCAUUACAGCAGCUCGUAGGGCUUACAGCUGGAUGAAUGAAAUCCCAUUGUGAGGUGUACCACAUUUUCAUUAUCUCUUUGUCCAUGGAUGGACCUCUAGGCUGUUUUUACUUCCUCUUUCCUAUGAACAAAGCAACAAUGAACAUGGAUGAGAAGGUCUAGAAUGAAGAGAGGUGGCAAGCAGGUUGGUGUUUCUGCCGCACUGCAGUAUGGGAGAUGAUCAAUGAGAAGAGUUGAUCCCCGCCCCACCACCACGUUCCCAAAUUCAGUGGCCAGAACAGACUACUCCAAAGAACCAACGCAGUGGGAACCUCCCCCAGAGCCUAGGAAUGGACAGCUCUGUCAGGCUGCCACUCCAGGUGUGGAACGAACACAUUGCUCUUGUCUUUAGAUCGGGACAGAUUUUAGAAGUCAAGAUGUUCUGACGCCUCUGUACGUUCAGGAUGCAGUCCUGGCUGAGGCACAUGCUGGGACACUUACGUCACGCUUUGACCUGAGCCCAUAUAGAGAGAACAGUCCCUGACGCCAUGAAUGUCACCCUACUCUCCUUGUACUGGAGAAAAGGAAAAGAAGAAGAAGAAUUGAAUCCUGGCCAGUUAAUAAUGCAGCCCAUUGGUUUGUGCCAAAGACAUUGAAUCUGAGAUUGAUGUCUGUUCCCAACGAGGAUCUGUGCCUUCAGGAAAUGCAACGGCCCCUGCACCCCACACACCGUUUGUCUUUUAAGGCUCAGCUACCUUGAAGUCACCUCUCUAUACCAGGGGCAACAUCCCAAAUUAGUCUUCAUUCAGAAAUUACCUCCGAUGGAAGCGUUUUCCUCCCUGGGAAAACGUUCAACCUAUUUAACUGGAGAGGAGCUGUUGCCAAGAAGUCAGCCUGGAGGAUGACAGUAAUUAAAUGAUGGUAA